Molecule: ribosomal RNA, 407 nt
Filed under: uncultured prokaryote
Also listed under: 1 other name
Description: bacterial SSU rRNA
Rfam family: Bacterial small subunit ribosomal RNA
Source: RNAcentral
UGGGGAAUAUUGGGCAAUGGGCGCAAGCCUGACCCAGCAACGCCGCGUGAAGGAAGAAGGCUUUCGGGUUGUAAACUUCUUUUGGCAGGGACGAAGAAAGUGACGGUACCUGCAGAAUAAGCUCCGGCUAACUACGUGCCAGCAGCCGCGGUAAUACGUAGGGAGCAAGCGUUAUCCGGAUUUACUGGGUGUAAAGGGCGCGUAGGCGGGGAUGCAAGUCAGAUGUGAAAUCUGGGGGCUCAACCCCCAAACUGCAUUUGAAACUGUAUUUCUUGAGUGAUGGAGAGGCAAGCGGAAUUCCUAGUGUAGCGGUGAAAUGCGUAGAUAUUAGGAGGAACACCAGUGGCGAAGGCGGCUUGCUGGACAUUAACUGACGCUGAUGCGCGAAAGCGUGGGGAGCAAACAGG